This is a non-coding RNA of Salvia hispanica, 1017 nucleotides long. The record is from RefSeq and is a predicted model, not a curated record. Lineage: Eukaryota; Viridiplantae; Streptophyta; Magnoliopsida; Lamiales; Lamiaceae.
UUGUCAUUCACAAUUUUUUCUGUUUAAUUCAGCAUCUGCAUUCAGAAAUUUCAAUAUUCUAUACUCAAAUUCAGAAACUAAAUGGAGCGAUAAUUGGGGAUAAUUUGAACUAUAUGUUUAUUUGUAUUAGGUUUUGAAUCGAUUGAAACCGCUGUGAUCUAGUUCAUUUCUGUGCUUUUUCUUUCUUUUUCUUAUUUUCAAUUUAAUGUAAGUGGAUGGAGUAUUGUGCUUGUGAUUAGUGUAAGCUACUAGGAUUCUUGAAGUUUGUCGACAAAAAUUAGUUAUUUUAUUAUUAUUAGAUAAUGGUCUCUCUUGCUCUUUUGUUCAUAUGUAUAUAUAUCCAUAUCUAAUGUCCUGGAUCAUUUUGUUUCUGGACAUCUUGUUUAACCUAGGGAACAGAUCUUGCGACACAUAUAGAUUCUUAAUUAAUAAACUUUCUGCUACUUUAAUCCUGCCUAUAUAUUUCCUUAGUCAAAACUUGUGGUUUUUUCAUAAUAGUCUAAUUGUUUCGAUGUUAAACAUAUAGAAUGUUUCACUAUAUGGCAUGAAGUUGGGCCAAGAAACAGAUGUAUAUAUUGUUAUUGAGCUCCAGAUUGGAACAGACACCCCUGUUUUCUCUGAUUUUGCACAGGUAAAUUUGUCAUGAAGCUCCCAACAGUUGGGAUGAAUUGAUAAUUGGUGUAACCACCUAACCGGUCUUAUUGUUCUAACAGAAGUGGCAGAUUGUGCUCGUACAACUUGCAUAUGGGUUUUGGCCUUGCUCUCUGAGAGUGUCAGUAUAAAUUGAAUACAAUGCGGUGGCUGAUUGUGAAUAGAGGCGAUGAUUGUUCCACUAAAAAAGAUUACUCUUGGUUCAUGGCUAUUGAGAAACAUGCUGUUAUAACUGAAGUGGGGGGUUUUGGUGAUCCCCAAUUUGACAAAACAAGAUGUUUGCAAGUAAAGUACUUUUUUCAGCACUGUCAAAUUUAAUACAAUUACAACAGUUUUUGUUAAAAUUGUAUAAUUUUUUUCGGUUUC